Gambusia affinis (western mosquitofish) is the source of this 522-nucleotide long non-coding RNA. RefSeq lists it as uncharacterized. Lineage: Eukaryota; Metazoa; Chordata; Actinopteri; Cyprinodontiformes; Poeciliidae. The transcript has 3 exons. The record is from RefSeq and is a predicted model, not a curated record.
AACAGAUUUUCUGAUCUGCCUUCUGUGAUUCUUGGCUGCCUUGCUGUCUUCCUUACAGUCAUCAUUGUUGCUUUGGCUGCCAGGACAAUACAAACAGGUCAAACUGAGAGAAAGAAUCCACGACCCUCUGAGAACUUGGACCCUCAUUGUCUCAACUAUAUGGCGCUGAAAUCACAUCCCAAAGCAAAAAACUACACAAGGUUAUCAGACGAGAAAGAGCUGGAGACAGAUGUUCUGUACGCUGCAACAAGAGAAACUCAUUAAAAAUAAAUCAACCUGAAAUUGUUUUUAGAAGCUGUAAAAGUCAAGAAUGUGGUUCAAAGAUCGACUCUAAACUAAAUACCUAUUAUUAACUCUGACGUUGAGAGAUACAGAUAUAUUGGCUAAAGGUUCUCAGUUCCAAAUACAAACCGUUAUUUUCCACUACAGCAGAAGAAAGAGCAAAUAAACCUUUCAGCUGUUCUGCUUCUGAACUCUGUUACAGAUUUACAAAACAACGUAUUUUAGUUCUGUAGUAACUAA